RNAcentral lists this ribosomal RNA (3002 nucleotides) under Klebsiella pneumoniae. RNAcentral's name for it is "23S ribosomal RNA". It matches the Rfam family "Bacterial large subunit ribosomal RNA". The record is from RNAcentral. Lineage: Bacteria; Pseudomonadati; Pseudomonadota; Gammaproteobacteria; Enterobacterales; Enterobacteriaceae.
GGGUUGUGAGGUUAAGCGACUAAGCGUACACGGUGGAUGCCCUGGCAGUCAGAGGCGAUGAAGGACGUGCUAAUCUGCGAAAAGCGUCGGUAAGGUGAUAUGAACCGUUAUAACCGGCGAUGUCCGAAUGGGGAAACCCAGUGCAAUUCGUUGCACUAUCGUUAACUGAAUACAUAGGUUAACGAGGCGAACCGGGGGAACUGAAACAUCUAAGUACCCCGAGGAAAAGAAAUCAACCGAGAUUCCCCCAGUAGCGGCGAGCGAACGGGGAGCAGCCCAGAGUCUGAAUCAGCUUGUGUGUUAGUGGAACGGUCUGGAAAGUCCGACGGUACAGGGUGAUAGUCCCGUACACCAAAAUGCACAGGUUGUGAACUCGAAGAGUAGGGCGGGACACGUGGUAUCCUGUCUGAAUAUGGGGGGACCAUCCUCCAAGGCUAAAUACUCCUGACUGACCGAUAGUGAACCAGUACCGUGAGGGAAAGGCGAAAAGAACCCCGGCGAGGGGAGUGAAAAAGAACCUGAAACCGUGUACGUACAAGCAGUGGGAGCACCUUCGGGUGUGACUGCGUACCUUUUGUAUAAUGGGUCAGCGACUUAUAUUCUGUAGCAAGGUUAACCGUAUAGGGGAGCCGCAGGGAAACCGAGUCUUAACUGGGCGUUAAGUUGCAGGGUAUAGACCCGAAACCCGGUGAUCUAGCCAUGGGCAGGUUGAAGGUUGGGUAACACUAACUGGAGGACCGAACCGACUAAUGUUGAAAAAUUAGCGGAUGACUUGUGGCUGGGGGUGAAAGGCCAAUCAAACCGGGAGAUAGCUGGUUCUCCCCGAAAGCUAUUUAGGUAGCGCCUCGUGAACUCAUCUUCGGGGGUAGAGCACUGUUUCGGCUAGGGGGUCAUCCCGACUUACCAACCCGAUGCAAACUACGAAUACCGAAGAAUGUUAUCACGGGAGACACACGGCGGGUGCUAACGUCCGUCGUGAAGAGGGAAACAACCCAGACCGCCAGCUAAGGUCCCAAAGUCAUGGUUAAGUGGGAAACGAUGUGGGAAGGCACAGACAGCCAGGAUGUUGGCUUAGAAGCAGCCAUCAUUUAAAGAAAGCGUAAUAGCUCACUGGUCGAGUCGGCCUGCGCGGAAGAUGUAACGGGGCUAAACCAUGCACCGAAGCUGCGGCAGCGACACUAUGUGUUGUUGGGUAGGGGAGCGUUCUGUAAGCCUGCGAAGGUGUGCUGUGAGGCAUGCUGGAGGUAUCAGAAGUGCGAAUGCUGACAUAAGUAACGAUAAAGCGGGUGAAAAGCCCGCUCGCCGGAAGACCAAGGGUUCCUGUCCAACGUUAAUCGGGGCAGGGUGAGUCGACCCCUAAGGCGAGGCCGAAAGGCGUAGUCGAUGGGAAACAGGUUAAUAUUCCUGUACUUGGUGUUACUGCGAAGGGGGGACGGAGAAGGCUAUGUUAGCCGGGCGACGGUUGUCCCGGUUUAAGCAUGUAGGCUGGUUNNNNNNNNNNNNNNNNNNNNNNNNNNNNNNNNNNNNNNNNNNNNNNNNNNNNNNNNNNNNNNNNNNNNNNNNNNNNNNNNNNNNNNNNNNNNNNNNNNNNCAAGGCUGAGGUGUGAUGACGAGGCACUACGGUGCUGAAGUAACAAAUGCCCUGCUUCCAGGAAAAGCCUCUAAGCAUCAGGUAACAUCAAAUCGUACCCCAAACCGACACAGGUGGUCAGGUAGAGAAUACCAAGGCGCUUGAGAGAACUCGGGUGAAGGAACUAGGCAAAAUGGUGCCGUAACUUCGGGAGAAGGCACGCUGGUGUGUAGGUGAAGCCCCUGCGGGUGGAGCUGAGACCAGUCGAAGAUACCAGCUGGCUGCAACUGUUUAUUAAAAACACAGCACUGUGCAAACACGAAAGUGGACGUAUACGGUGUGACGCCUGCCCGGUGCCGGAAGGUUAAUUGAUGGGGUUAUCCGUAAGGAGAAGCUCUUGAUCGAAGCCCCGGUAAACGGCGGCCGUAACUAUAACGGUCCUAAGGUAGCGAAAUUCCUUGUCGGGUAAGUUCCGACCUGCACGAAUGGCGUAAUGAUGGCCAGGCUGUCUCCACCCGAGACUCAGUGAAAUUGAACUCGCUGUGAAGAUGCAGUGUACCCGCGGCAAGACGGAAAGACCCCGUGAACCUUUACUAUAGCUUGACACUGAACAUUGAGCCUUGAUGUGUAGGAUAGGUGGGAGGCUUUGAAGCGUGGACGCCAGUCUGCGUGGAGCCAACCUUGAAAUACCACCCUUUAAUGUUUGAUGUUCUAACGUUGGCCCCUUACCGGGGUUGCGGACAGUGUCUGGUGGGUAGUUUGACUGGGGCGGUCUCCUCCCAAAGCGUAACGGAGGAGCACGAAGGUUAGCUAAUCCUGGUCGGACAUCAGGAGGUUAGUGCAAUGGCAUAAGCUAGCUUGACUGCGAGCGUGACGGCGCGAGCAGGUGCGAAAGCAGGUCAUAGUGAUCCGGUGGUUCUGAAUGGAAGGGCCAUCGCUCAACGGAUAAAAGGUACUCCGGGGAUAACAGGCUGAUACCGCCCAAGAGUUCAUAUCGACGGCGGUGUUUGGCACCUCGAUGUCGGCUCAUCACAUCCUGGGGCUGAAGUAGGUCCCAAGGGUAUGGCUGUUCGCCAUUUAAAGUGGUACGCGAGCUGGGUUUAGAACGUCGUGAGACAGUUCGGUCCCUAUCUGCCGUGGGCGCUGGAGAAUUGAGGGGGGCUGCUCCUAGUACGAGAGGACCGGAGUGGACGCAUCACUGGUGUUCGGGUUGUCAUGCCAAUGGCACUGCCCGGUAGCUAAAUGCGGAAGAGAUAAGUGCUGAAAGCAUCUAAGCACGAAACUUGCCCCGAGAUGAGUUCUCCCUGAGACUUUAAGUCUCCUGAAGGAACGUUGAAGACGACGACGUUGAUAGGCCGGGUGUGUAAGCGCAGCGAUGCGUUGAGCUAACCGGUACUAAUGAACCGUGAGGCUUAACCUUACAACGCCGAAG